CUAGGAUAGUUUAAUAAAACAUUAGGUCGUGACCCUAACAAUAGAACUAACCGUUCUUCCCAGCU
RNAcentral lists this transfer RNA (65 nucleotides) under Pseudotrapelus chlodnickii. RNAcentral's name for it is "tRNA-His". Lineage: Eukaryota; Metazoa; Chordata; Lepidosauria; Squamata; Agamidae. The record is from RNAcentral.